AUCCCAGAUAAGCUUAACGUUUUCGUAAGUGCUUACGCUGAUUCAUGGGAGGCCAAAAUUAAAUUAUGGAAGUUUCGCUGAUAAAUGCCAAUCUCUGAUUGUUAUGUCAAGGCGUUUACUAGUAACUUCACCAUACACUU
Small nucleolar RNA from Abrus precatorius (Indian licorice), 140 nucleotides. The record is from RefSeq and is a predicted model, not a curated record. NCBI's taxonomy places the organism in Eukaryota, Viridiplantae, Streptophyta, Magnoliopsida, Fabales, Fabaceae.